AAAUCAGUGUCGAUUUGACUCAUCUAAUUCACACUUUUAUGUUUAUUGACGUUGUUCAUUUGAAUAUAAACGACAGUGACAAUCGGUGGUUAGCAGUUUCCAGUGAUUUGACAUUUACGAAACUCUGUUAUUUUAUAAUUAAUUACAUCAGCAGACAUUGAUUAGACAUGUUUAAAACACUGCUGUUGUUGAUACUAGGACUGUUUUUGUUGACCAGUUACUUGGAGGCGACUCCAAUUUCCCCACACAAUGACGAGUACAGCCAUAUUUUAAUCAACCGUCCGGUGUUUAACAAAGACAAAUCCAGAAGAACCACAGAUAAUCUAAUAAGAUAAUUCAUAAACAUGUAAUUGUUCAAUAUAAACAACGUUAGUAAUCUCUA
This is a long non-coding RNA of Aethina tumida (small hive beetle), 382 nucleotides long. RefSeq lists it as uncharacterized. The record is from RefSeq and is a predicted model, not a curated record. Lineage: Eukaryota; Metazoa; Arthropoda; Insecta; Coleoptera; Nitidulidae. The transcript is spliced from 3 exons.